Molecule: ribosomal RNA, 1355 nt
Filed under: Haplobothrium globuliforme
Lineage: Eukaryota; Metazoa; Platyhelminthes; Cestoda; Haplobothriidea; Haplobothriidae
Description: partial 28S ribosomal RNA
Rfam family: Eukaryotic large subunit ribosomal RNA
Source: RNAcentral
GAUUCCCCUAGUAACGGCGAGUGAAGAGGGAGGAGCCCAGCACCGAAGCAUGCGGCAGUUUUGCUGUUAUGCAUUGUGGUGUUAGGGUCGGCUAGCGGAACUGCCACUCCACUUGAAGUCCAGCAUUGAGUAUGGUUCCUGGAUUUGGCCCAGAGAGGGUGAAAGGCCCGUGCAAGUGGAGGUAUCAGACAUGUAAGGUGGUUCACCAGGCCGGCCUAAGAGUCGGGUUGUUUGUGAAUGCAGCCCAAAGAGGGUGGUAAACUCCAUCCAAGGCUAAAUACUAGCACGAGUCCGAUAGCGAACAAGUACCGUGAGGGAAAGUUGAAAAGUACUUUGAAGAGAGAGUAAACAGUACGUGAAGCCGCAUAGAGGUAAACGGGUGGCGUCAAGCUGCAAGCCCGGAAGAUUCAGUCGGUCAGGGUGUAGAGUACGCGCCUGGCGCGUCAAUGAGUCGGUGUGGGAUUGUGACAGUCCGCCAGUAGUGGUGGGCCUGGUCGGUGGCCUCGGUCGUUGGCUAGGAUUCGAGUUCCGGGAGGCUGCCGGAACGAGCUGUCCGUCCGUUGGACUGUCUGGCCGAUGCACUUCUUCCGUGGUGGACACCACGACCGGUGGUACAGCCUGUCUGCCGUGGUCAAGUUGCCGUGGCGCGCGCUCUCUGAGCGUGUGCAUUGCGGUGGCGAACACAAGCAAGUCUGGCGCACGGCGCCCGGGUGUCUCUGGCAUUCGGGCGUGCUAUCGGGCGUCGCUUGUUAGGGGAGCUGUUCGAGUUGCUGGUUGCAGCCUGGCUUGGAUGCUCCCGUGGGUUACGGUGGUAUGAAUAACUGUGCUGGGCACCGGAGUUCGCGGUCUCUAGUCCUGUUCGCAUGCACGCGCUGCACUUAGGUGAAUAUGCGGGGCGUCGUCGCGGUCUGACAGUUGCUGGGUCUGAUUGUCGUGUUGCCGGCGCAAAGUCGGUCCGAUGGUGGCCUGGUGUUGGACGGCGCCGAUGACGGCGUUCUUCUGUGCGAGUAGGCGAGGACCUGACAGUCUGUGGUGUAGUGGUAGAUUAGCCACCCGACCCGUCUUGAAACACGGACCAAGGAGUUUAUCACGUACGCAAGUCAAUGGGUCCUACGAAACCCAAAGGCGCAGUGAAAGUGAAGCCUCGGCUUGUUCCCGGGGUGUGGUGAGAUCCUGCUGUUUCUCGCACCUGCUUCGGCGCGGUUGGUCAGCAGCACCAGGCAGAAGAGCAGCGGGCGCAUCACCGGCCCGUCCCAUGAUGUGGUCGUGUGCUGCACGGCAUUCGUGCACUUACGCGUCAUCGGGGCGGAGCAUGAGCGUACGUGAUGAGACCCGAAAGAUGGUGAACUUAUGCA